CGGCGGCGUCGGCGGGGCCGGCGUCAAUGGCGGUAUGGGCGCAGCAGGAGGUGCCGGCGGCAACGCCUACCUGUUCGGUUCUGGCGGCGCGGGC
Molecule: transfer RNA, 94 nt
Filed under: Mycobacterium tuberculosis
Lineage: Bacteria; Bacillati; Actinomycetota; Actinomycetes; Mycobacteriales; Mycobacteriaceae
Description: tRNA-His(atg)
Source: RNAcentral